AACGAACGCUGGCGGCAUGCCUAACACAUGCAAGUCGAACGAGACCUUCGGGUCUAGUGGCGCACGGGUGCGUAACGCGUGGGAACCUGCCCUUAGGUUCGGAAUAACUCCCCGAAAGGGGUGCUAAUACCGGAUAAUGUCUUCGGACCAAAGAUUUAUCGCCUUUGGAUGGGCCCGCGUUGGAUUAGCUAGUUGGUAGGGUAAAAGCCUACCAAGGCGACGAUCCAUAGCUGGUCUGAGAGGAUGAUCAGCCACACUGGGACUGAGACACGGCCCAGACUCCGACGGGAGGCAGCAGUGGGGACUAUUGGACAAUGGGCGAAAGCCUGAUCCAGCAGUGCCGCGUGAGUGAUGAAGGCCUUAGGGUUGUAAAGCUCUUUUACCCGGGAUGAUAAUGACAGUACCGGGAGAAUAAGCUCCGGCUAACUCCGU
RNAcentral lists this ribosomal RNA (432 nucleotides) under uncultured bacterium. RNAcentral's name for it is "partial 16S ribosomal RNA". It matches the Rfam family "Bacterial small subunit ribosomal RNA", at positions 29 to 506 of the family's 1533-position model. The record is from RNAcentral.